CACGUAGGGUGCGAGCGUUGUCCGGAAUUAUUGGGCGUAAAGAGCUCGUAGGCGGUGUGUCGCGUCAGCCGUGAAAACUUGCAGCUUAACUGUGGGCGUGCGGUCGAUACGGGCAUCACUGGAGUUCGGCAGGGGAGACUGGAAUUCCUGGUGUAGCGGUGAAAUGCGCAGAUAUCAGGAGGAACACCGGUGGCGAAGGCGGGUCUCUGGGCCGAUACUGACGCUGAGGCGCGAAAGCCAGGGGAGCAAACGGG
RNAcentral lists this ribosomal RNA (254 nucleotides) under uncultured bacterium. Its description in RNAcentral is "partial 16S ribosomal RNA". It matches the Rfam family "Bacterial small subunit ribosomal RNA", at positions 524 to 776 of the family's 1533-position model. The record is from RNAcentral.